UACGUAGGUGGCGAGCGUUGUCCGGAUUUAUUGGGCGUAAAGCGCGCGCAGGCGGUGCGCUAAGUCUGCGGUGAAAUCUCCCUGGCUCAACCGGGAGGGGGCCGUGGAGACUGGCGCACUGGAGGGACCUAGAGGCCGGUGGAAUUCCCGGUGUAGUGGUGAAAUGCGUAGAUAUCGGGAGGAACACCUGUGGCGAAAGCGGCGCACUGGACCACAACUGACGCUGAGGCGCGAAAGCUAGGGGAGCAAACAGG
This 254-nucleotide ribosomal RNA is filed under the name uncultured bacterium. RNAcentral's name for it is "partial 16S ribosomal RNA". It matches the Rfam family "Bacterial small subunit ribosomal RNA", at positions 524 to 776 of the family's 1533-position model. The record is from RNAcentral.